ACAGCAGCAGCCGCGGUAAUACAGAGGGUGCGAGCGUUAAUCGGAUUUACUGGGCGUAAAGCGUGCGUAGGCGGCUUUUAAGUCGGAUGUGAAAUCCCUGAGCUUAACUUAGGAAUUGCAUUCGAUACUGGGAAGCUAGAGUAUGGGAGAGGAUGGUAGAAUUCCAGGUGUAGCGGUGAAAUGCGUAGAGAUCUGGAGGAAUACCGAUGGCGAAGGCAGCCAUCUGGCCUAAUACUGACGCUGAGGUACGAAAGCAUGGGGAGCAAACAGGAUUAGAUACCCCCGUAGUCCCUGUCUCUUAUACC
This 305-nucleotide ribosomal RNA is filed under the name uncultured bacterium. RNAcentral's name for it is "partial 16S ribosomal RNA". It matches the Rfam family "Bacterial small subunit ribosomal RNA", at positions 505 to 808 of the family's 1533-position model. The record is from RNAcentral.